CCGGCACGGGUGAGUAACACGUAUGCAAUCCACCUGUAACAGGGGGAUAACCCGGAGAAAUCCGGACUAAUACCCCAUAAUAUGGGCGCUCCGCAUGGAGAGCCCAUUAAAGAGAGCAAUUUUGGUUACAGACGAGCAUGCGCUCCAUUAGCCAGUUGGCGGGGUAACGGCCCGCCAAAGCGACGAUGGAUAGGGGUUCUGAGAGGAAGGUCCCCCACAUUGGAACUGAGACACGGUCCAA
This 241-nucleotide ribosomal RNA is filed under the name uncultured bacterium. RNAcentral's name for it is "partial 16S ribosomal RNA". It matches the Rfam family "Bacterial small subunit ribosomal RNA", at positions 100 to 334 of the family's 1533-position model. The record is from RNAcentral.